GGUGGGGAGGCCUAAUGGUUAAAGCAUUCUCUCAUCAUGCAGAAAACCCGGGCUCGUUUCCCCACAUGGUUACAAUGUGUUAAGCCCAUUUCUGGUGUCCUCCGCCGUGAUAUUGCGAGAAUAUUGUUUAAAGUGGUGUAAA
Molecule: long non-coding RNA, 142 nt
Organism: Haliotis rubra (blacklip abalone)
Lineage: Eukaryota; Metazoa; Mollusca; Gastropoda; Lepetellida; Haliotidae
Exons: 3
Source: RefSeq, a predicted model, not a curated record